UUUUGGACAAUGGGGGCAACCCUGAUCCAGCAAUGCCGCGUGAGUGAAGAAGGCCUUCGGGUUGUAAAGCUCUUUUGUCAGGGAAGAAGCACCGGCUCUAACACAGUCCGGGAAUGACGGUACCUGAAGAAUAAGCACCGGCUAACUACGUGCUAGCAGCCGCGGUAAUACGUAGGGUGCAAGCGUUAAUCGGAAUUACUGGGCGUAAAGCGUGCGCAGGCGGUUAUACAAGACAGGCGUGAAAUCCCCGGGCUUAACCUGGGAAUGGCGCCUGUGACUGUAUAGCUAGAGUGUGUCAGAGGGGGGUAGAAUUCCACGUGUAGCAGUGAAAUGCGUAGAUAUGUGGAGGAAUACCAAUGGCGAAGGCAGCCCCCUGGGAUAACACUGACGCUCAUGCACGAA
This 402-nucleotide ribosomal RNA is filed under the name uncultured bacterium. RNAcentral describes it as "bacterial SSU rRNA". It matches the Rfam family "Bacterial small subunit ribosomal RNA", at positions 362 to 757 of the family's 1533-position model. The record is from RNAcentral.